GUAUGAGUUAGUGGCGGACGGGUGAGUAACGCGUGGAAAACCUGCCGUAUACUGGGGGAUAACACUUAGAAAUAGGUGCUAAUACCGCAUAAGCGCACAGCUUCGCAUGAAGCAGUGUGAAAAACUGAGGUGGUAUACGAUGGUUCCGCGUCUGAUUAGCUAGUUGGUGGGGUAAAAGCCUACCAAGGCAACGAUCAGUAGCCGGCCUGAGAGGGUGAACGGCCACAUUGGGACUGAGACACGGCCCAAACUCCUACGGGAGGCAGCAGUGGGGAAUAUUGCACAAUGGGGGAAACCCUGAUGCAGCGACGCCGCGUGAGUGAAGAAGUAUUUCGGUAUGUAAAGCUCUAUCAGCAGGGAAGAAAUACUGACCAUAGGGUCAGCAGACGGUACUUGACUAAGAAGCCCCGGCUAACUACGUGCCAGCAGCCGCGGUAAUACGUAGGGGGCAAGCGUUAUCCGGAUUUACUGGGUGUAAAGGGAGCGUAGACGGCAGCGCAAGUCUGAAGUGAAAUGCCAGGGCUUAACCCUGGAACUGCUUUGGAAACUGUGCAGCUAGAGUGCAGGAGAGGUAAGUGGAAUUUCUAGUGUAGCGGUGAAAUGCGUAGAUAUUAGGAGGAACACCAGUGGCGAAGGCGGCUUACUGGACUGUAACUGACGUUGAGGCUCGAAAGCGUGGGGAGCAAACAGGAUUAGAUACCCUGGUAGUCCACGCUGUAAACGAUGAUUACUAGGUGUUGGGGGACCAAGGUUCUUCGGUGCCGUCGCAAACGCAAUAAGUAAUCCACCUGGGGAGUACGUUCGCAAGAAUGAAACUCAAAGGAAUUGACGGGGACCCGCACAAGCGGUGGAGCAUGUGGUUUAAUUCGAAAGCACGCGAAGAACCUUACCUGGUCU
RNAcentral lists this ribosomal RNA (897 nucleotides) under uncultured bacterium. RNAcentral's name for it is "bacterial SSU rRNA". It matches the Rfam family "Bacterial small subunit ribosomal RNA", at positions 85 to 981 of the family's 1533-position model. The record is from RNAcentral.